This 69-nucleotide transfer RNA is filed under the name Diapteron cyanostictum (Gabon jewelfish). RNAcentral's name for it is "Aphyosemion cyanostictum (Gabon jewelfish) tRNA-Ile". The record is from RNAcentral. Lineage: Eukaryota; Metazoa; Chordata; Actinopteri; Cyprinodontiformes; Nothobranchiidae.
GGAGCUGUGCCUGACAAUAGGAUUACUUUGAUAGAGUAAAUAAUGAAGGUGAAAGCCCUUCCAACUCCU